CACUCCCUGGAGUACUUGCCAGUUGGUGAUGUCCCUGAGCCGAUUCGCACUACCCUGGGUGUUACACGUUGGGCCGGUGUGCAUGUCCGCUAGACGGAAAGCCUUAAGGUCUACUGUAACUUCCACCUUGAACUUUCGGGUUCAAGGGCUAAGCCGACAGCGCUACGUCGGGGAGCCU
This is a non-coding RNA of Pseudomonas agarici, 178 nucleotides long. It matches the Rfam family "6S / SsrS RNA". From Rfam's summary of the family: E. coli 6S RNA was the first non coding RNA to be sequenced, but its function was unknown until recently. It consists of 184 nucleotides that fold into an extended hairpin structure with a large single-stranded internal bulge. Lineage: Bacteria; Pseudomonadati; Pseudomonadota; Gammaproteobacteria; Pseudomonadales; Pseudomonadaceae. The record is from Rfam.